This 3535-nucleotide small RNA is filed under the name Pan troglodytes (chimpanzee). Its description in RNAcentral is "retained intron". Lineage: Eukaryota; Metazoa; Chordata; Mammalia; Primates; Hominidae. The record is from RNAcentral.
CAUCUUUUCCUAACCUUGUCAGGCCCUGGAGCUCCCUUUGCCCAUGCCAGUGACCAUCGCUCCUCAGAAUGUGCAGUGGAAGUUGCUGUGGACAGUGCUCCCUGGUCUCUGAGGCCCUCUUCGUCCUGGUCUGGCCAAGGACUUCCCAGAAAACUGUGCUUAGCUGUGGCGGGAGGCACGGCCGGUCACGCAGCCUUCCUCGCGCCCUGGAGUGGGCAGGCCUGCUUGUGUUGUGCAGCGGCAGAACCCUUCCUGACUUCCAGGCUUUUCCUGGGGUGCGGUAUCCCAUCGCAGCAUUUUCUCUGGUUACCCUCACGAGUUUCCUCCUGCAUUUGGUUCUUGAUCUCCAGGGCCAUCUCCCACGUCUUCCUUGGAAAGGGGCAUUGUCAUCCUUUUUGUACUUUGAUGAUUUUGAAAGAUUUCUCAUAGUAACUGUUAGGAAGUUGGCCUCAGAAGCAAAAAUUCUUCUUUUGUCUUGGCCCCUAUGAACAAGUGUUCUGCUCUCAGAUGAAGCAGGGAGGCUGCACUGGAGCUUGGUGGCCAGCAGGAGGGAAUCACCAGGGUGGUGAAGCCUGCGAGAUUUCUCCCCGGGUGUCUCUGAUGGGGCCACAUGGCGGAUUUCAUAAUCUACCGAUUCGUUUUUUUAAGCCUUUAUUGUUAACAUCAACUGUGUGCCACGCUCAGAGACCUGAAGUGAAAAGUGAGGAAGGCGUGCUCACAUUCCAGCACUCACCACCCGGCACCGGGCCCGCUGACUCAGCACGUGCCGUUUAGGUGGCUGUAAACAGCCAGUGAGAUUCUCGCCUCUGGUGGGCAGUGCGUGUCUGACAAAGGCAGUCGGGCGGAGAACAGUUCCUCCGCUGUGGUCCUCUGCCACUGUACCAGGCCCCCAAGAGCUGGGGGGAGCCCCAGGGAGCCUCAGCCUGUUGAGUGGGGGCAGCUGGUUUGUCCUCCGAGGUGGAAGAGGUGAUUUCUGAGGAGGCCAUGCUCCGCUUGGCUCGUUCACAGCAUUUCAGAGAGUCCGAAAGAGGAGAAAGACCUUGGCAAGGGGUGUGUCAGGGUGGGCCCAAGGACGCCGGUGGCCUCAUGUGGACUGACUUUCAUGAACAGAAACUCAGAAACAGUUGCUGCUGGGUUUUGGCUUCUCAGAUAAACAUUCUUUUUGUAGUUCGUUUGUUCAUCCCUCAUUUUGCUGUCUGACUUUGCCUUUGUUUUCCCUUCACUAUUACUGAUGACCAAGGAAACUGGAAGUUAAUUCCAGAGGCAGUGGGGUUGCUCCUGUUGUCUGUGCAGACUGGAGUUCCUCUGCCUCUGUCAGCAUCUCCUCUGUCCUUCCCCAGCCUUGGCAGGAGACCAGUAAUGACCUCUGUCCCCGUGUACCCCAGUGAUGGCCGCCGUCCCCGUGUACACCAGUGAUGGCCGCUGUCCCCGUGCACCCCAGUGAUGGCCGCCGUCCCCGUGUACACCAGUGAUGGCCGCUGUCCCCGUGCACCCCAGUGAUGGCUGCCAUCCCCGUGCACCCCAGUGAUGGCCGCCGUCCCCGUGUACCCCAGUGAUGGCCACCGUCGCCGUGCACACCAGUGAUGGCCGCCGUGCCCGUGCACCCCAGUGAUGGCCUCUGUCCCCCAUGCACUCCCAGACAGGCAAUGUCCCUGUGGGCCUGUCCCAGGCUCUGUUCUCAGCAGGCUGGGCUCAGCCCUGGUGCAGGGAGUGAGGAGGUGGGAGUAGUAGGGACCAGAAAAAGUGGCAGCUGUUGACAACUCUGCCAUCUCUUUCUGAAUGUAAUGGGAGGUCCUGUCUUUUCAGCUUGCAGGGAAGGAGGGUCCGAGGCAACUCCGCUGUUGCACAUUUAGGGACCCCUGAACUUAAAUGACAGAAUGCCCUGACCACUCUGGAAGGCACUGUGUUCAUGUUUGUGUGCUUGACUCUUGGUGCGUAAAAUGGCUGUUUGUGCAGGUCAUUAACUGUGAGAUUCAGACAGUAGGUGCACACGCCCCUGCAGAGAUUCCAGCAGGACUGAAAACCAGUAGAAAUAUAUCAGCACCUGGAUCUUGCCUCCUGAGUCAGUAAGGAUAUGCCACAGUCACGAAGGCAGUGGGAGUUCGAGGGAGGGAAGGGAAGGCGGCAGGCGGGGCGUGCCCUCCGGGGUGCCCGAACACACCUGCUGCAUCCACACGUCUUCAGAGCCCUCUCCCUGUGGGAGGCCUUUUUCAGGACAGCCUCGGUGAACUGGAAACGGAAUCCCAGCCCUUGGUGGCCCUGCAGUGACUUGGACCUUUCCGAGGUCACCCUGCCACUGUGUGCCCUUCAGUCCCUCCUGGCAGGUGGGGGCACAUCCCCCAGCCACUCCCAUUUCCUGACAUUGACACUUUGUAUAACUGGAAGCCUUCUGUGAAAUUUUAGUUUUCAAAGCAUUAUCUGGUGAUGGGCAACCCAGGGCAGCGAAUCAUUCAGAAUUUUCUUAUCUAGGCUAAUAAACAAUAAAAUCAAUAAGGACUUUGAAAGUAACUCCACUGGGUUCAGGAAACUGAGUGUGGCCGCCCUGUGGGGUGGUGUUUGGUGAGUGCUUCCCGGAGGUGAGUAGUUAAUUCACAGGAGUGACUAAUGGCAGCGUCCCACUCACUCCUCCUUCCGGGGUCAUGGUCUCAAGGGGUCACUCCAUGCACUGGGGAUGUCAGCUCAUUACAGAAUGAUAUAUUCGGGAAGUGUCUCAGUUCUGAGUGCGUUUGAGGGAAUUUGCACUUCCGUUCCCACACAGCCUUGCAUUGUGUGUGUUAGAGGCUGUGGGCCUUGGGCAGGAGGGGUGGGCGUUGGCACAUACCUCCCGUCUCUCCCAGCCUUCUCUGACUCUGACUUUCCCUCUUGAAGGCUACCGGCUCUCUGACCAGUUCCACGACAUCCUCAUUCGAAAGUUUGACAGGCAGGGGCGGGGGCAGAUCGCCUUCGACGACUUCAUCCAGGGCUGCAUCGUCCUGCAGAGGUUGACGGAUAUAUUCAGACGUUACGACACGGAUCAGGACGGCUGGAUUCAGGUGUCGUACGAACAGUACCUGUCCAUGGUCUUCAGUAUCGUAUGACCCUGGCCUCUCGUGAAGAGCAGCACAACAUGGAAAGAGCCAAAAUGUCACAGUUCCUAUCUGUGAGGGAAUGGAGCACAGGUGCAGUUAGAUGCUGUUCUUCCUUUAGAUUUUGUCACGUGGGGACCCAGCUGUACAUAUGUGGAUAAGCUGAUUAAUGGUUUUGCAACUGUAAUAGUAGCUGUAUCGUUCUAAUGCAGACAUUGGAUUUGGUGACUGUCUCAUUGUGCCAUGAGGUAAAUGUAAUGUUUCAGGCAUUCUGCUUGCAAAAAAAUCUAUCAUGUGCUUUUCUAGAUGUCUCUGGUUCUAUAGUGCAAAUGCUUUUAUUAGCCAAUAGGAAUUUUAAAAUAACAUGGAACUUACACAAAAGGCUUUUCAUGUGCCUUACUUUUUUAAAAAGGAGUUUAUUGUAUUCAUUGGAAUAUGUGACGUAAGCAAUAAAGGGAAUGUUAGACGUG